This 281-nucleotide ribosomal RNA is filed under the name uncultured bacterium. RNAcentral's name for it is "partial 16S ribosomal RNA". It matches the Rfam family "Bacterial small subunit ribosomal RNA", at positions 505 to 784 of the family's 1533-position model. The record is from RNAcentral.
GUGCCAGCCGCCGCGAUAAUACGUAGGGGGCGAGCGUUGUCCGGAUUUAUUGGGCGUAAAGAGCUCGUAGGCGGUUCAACAAGUCGGUCGUGAAAGUUCAGGGCUCAACCCUGAAAUGUUGAUCGAUACUGUUGUGACUAGGAUACGGUAGAGGUGAGUGGAAUUCCGAGUGUAGCGGUGAAAUGCGUAGAUAUUCGGAAGAACACCAAUUGCGAAGGCAGCUCACUGGGCCGCUAUCGACGCUGAGGAGCGAAAGCUAGGGGAGCAAACAGGAUUAGAUA